GAGUCCUUGGUGUACGGAAACACACAUCCUGUUUGUGCUUGACUGUCCACGUCGACUGAAACUUUAGGAUGAGACCGGGGUUCAACUCCCCGAGGACACA
Non-coding RNA from Mycena galopus ATCC 62051, 100 nucleotides. NCBI's taxonomy places the organism in Eukaryota, Fungi, Basidiomycota, Agaricomycetes, Agaricales, Mycenaceae. The record is from the annotation of a GenBank genome assembly.